GUCGAGCGGGGAAGUAUAGCUUGCUAUACGACCUAGCGGCGGACGGGUGAGUAAUGCUUAGGAAUCUGCCUAUUAGUGGGGGACAACAUUCCGAAAGGAAUGCUAAUACCGCAUACGCCCUACGGGGGAAAGCAGGGGAUCUUCGGACCUUGCGCUAAUAGAUGAGCCUAAGUCAGAUUAGCUAGUUGGUGGGGUAAAGGCCUACCAAGGCGACGAUCUGUAGCGGGUCUGAGAGGAUGAUCCGCCACACUGGGACUGAGACACGGCCCAGACUCCUACGGGAGGCAGCAGUGGGGAAUAUUGGACAAUGGGCGAAAGCCUGAUCCAGCCAUGCCGCGUGUGUGAAGAAGGCCUUUUGGUUGUAAAGCACUUUAAGCGAGGAGGAGGCUACUUGGAUUAAUACUCUAGGAUAGUGGACGUUACUCGCAGAAUAAGCACCGGCUAACUCUGUGCCAGCAGCCGCGGUAAUACAGAGGGUGCGAGCGUUAAUCGGAUUUACUGGGCGUAAAGCGUGCGUAGGCGGCUUUUUAAGUCGGAUGUGAAAUCCCUGAGCUUAACUUAGGAAUUGCAUUCGAUACUGGGAAGCUAGAGUAUGGGAGAGGAUGGUAGAAUUCCAGGUGUAGCGGUGAAAUGCGUAGAGAUCUGGAGGAAUACCGAUGGCGAA
Molecule: ribosomal RNA, 664 nt
Filed under: Acinetobacter johnsonii
Lineage: Bacteria; Pseudomonadati; Pseudomonadota; Gammaproteobacteria; Moraxellales; Moraxellaceae
Description: bacterial SSU rRNA
Rfam family: Bacterial small subunit ribosomal RNA
Source: RNAcentral